RNAcentral lists this ribosomal RNA (775 nucleotides) under uncultured Neocallimastigales. Its description in RNAcentral is "partial large subunit ribosomal RNA". It matches the Rfam family "Eukaryotic large subunit ribosomal RNA", at positions 24 to 636 of the family's 3401-position model. Lineage: Eukaryota; Fungi; Neocallimastigomycota; Neocallimastigomycetes; Neocallimastigales. The record is from RNAcentral.
UAUGUGAUCGUCUCUCGCAUAUCAAUAAGCGGAGGAAAAGAAACUAACAAGGAUUCCCCUAGUAACGGCGAGUGAAGCGGGAAGAGCUCAAAUUUGAAAUCUUAAAGAGGUUUCCCCUUACGAAUUGUAGUUUAAAGAAGUGUUUUCUGUUGAGGUUUUGGUAAAAGUUCUUUGGAAUAGGACAUCAUAGAGGGUGAGAAUCCCGUAUUUGACCUUUACUUUCAACUUUGUGAUACACUUUCAAAGAGUCGGAUUGUUUGGGAAUGCAGUCCAAAAUGGGUGGUAAAUUUCAUCUAAAGCUAAAUAUUGGCGAGAGACCGAUAGCGAACAAGUACCGUGAGGGAAAGAUGAAAAGAACUUUGAAAAGAGAGUUAAACAGUACGUGAAAUUGUCAAAAGGGAAGCGUUUGACACCAGUGUUGUUUUUCUGAAAAUCAAUUAAAGAACUGUUUAUGCUAAGUUGUUUAGACUUUAUCAGCUAACUGUUUAGUUUUGAGCUUUUCUUUAAUGCACUUUUCAGUUAACAAGUCAACAUCAAUUUCUUUUGCUGUAAAAAAGCUUGAGGAAGGUGGCUUGAGAUUCGUCUUAAGUGUUUAUAGCCUCUUGCCUAUGCAGUCGGAGAGAUUGAGGUCUGCAGCGUAGAUCCUUCGGGGCUAAAUGCAUUUGUGCUAAGUUAUAGCAUUUUAUAGACAACUUGUUGACUAUGAUUUGUCUUGUAGCUUACUCGCUUAUGUUAUUUUACCUACGCUUAGGAUGUUGAUAUGCAUGACUGAUAU